Molecule: long non-coding RNA, 599 nt
Filed under: Mytilus galloprovincialis (Mediterranean mussel)
Lineage: Eukaryota; Metazoa; Mollusca; Bivalvia; Mytilida; Mytilidae
Source: RNAcentral
UUGGCGUUAAAAUUGAUUCACUUAUAGGGUCAUUGCAUCGGAACUAAACACAUUUAUUUAAAAACCAGUUGUUGGCAUGACACGGGUUAUGUUCUUCUCAUAUAUUUUAUGAUGGUAUGAUACUAAACCCCUAACGGGAGGGAUUGUGCCUAAUAUUCAUAUGAUGAAGACAUAAUCUUUCAAUCAGUUUAAUUGAGGUCUGGAGCUGGUAAGUCAGUUAACUGCUAGUAGUUUGUUGUUAUUUAUGUAUUGUUGUCAUUUUGUUUAUUUUCUUUUGUUACAUCUUCUGACAUCGGACUCGCAUUUCUCCUGAACUGAAUUUUAAUGUGCGUACUGUGAUGCGUUUACUUUUCUACAUUGGCUAGAGGUAAAGGGAAGGGUUGAGAUCUCAUAAACAUGUUUAACCCCGCAUUGUUGGGCCUGUCCCAAGUCAGGAGCCUCUAGCCUUUGUAAGUCUUGUAUUAUUUUUAAUUUUAGUUUCUUGUGUAAAAUUUGGAGUUUGGUAUGACGUCCAUUACUGAACUAGUAUAUAUAUUUGUUUGGUGGACAGCUGAAGGACGCCCCCGGUUGCUGGAAUUUCUCGCUGCAUUGAAGACCUA